CCCCGUGGCUGGGGGUCAUGUGGGUGCCCCCCGGGUCCCCUGGGUGUCCCUGAGGUCCCAUGGGUGCCCCCCAUAUUGGGGGUUCUCUGGGUGUCCCCCCCCGUUCCCUGGGUGCCCCGGUCUCCCGUGGGUUCCCCAGGGGUUGUGGGUCCCUUCCACUUGUCACCGAGGGCUCCUGAGCUCCUCCGGGGGGGUCCCGGAGCUUGGGAGUGUCUUGGAGGAUGGGGGUCCCCCGGUUCCCCCCCUGACCCCAGGUCCUCGAAGGGUGCCACAAAGGAUGGGGGACCCCGCGGGCGUCCCGGGGGUUGGGAGUCCCCUGGGUGCUCCCCGGGCUGGGGGUCGUCCGGGUGCCCCUGAUGUCCCCUGGGUGUCCCAUAGGAUGGGGGUCCACCCGCUGAGGACUCCCCGCGGCGCAGACCCCCGGGGCUGAGCCGGGCCUUCCUCCCGCAGCCGCCGGCCUCUACUACCUGGCAGAGCUGGUGGAGGAGUACACGGUUGUCACCAGGAGGAUCAUCAAAUACAUGAUCUGGGUGAGUGCGGGGGCUGCAGCCCGUCCCCCUCCCCCCCCACCCCCUUCCCCAGUGGCUGCGGGGCUGGGACGUGGGGUGACACUGCUGUGCUCCUCAGUGGGGGCUGGGACGUGGGGUGGCACUGCUGUCCCACAUCUGGGCGGGCUGGGACGUGGGAUGGCACCGCUGUGCCCCUCCUGGGGGGCUGGAACGUGGGGUGACACUGCUGUCCCACAUCUGGGGUGGCUGGGACGUGGGGUGGCCCCACUGUGCCCCUCCUGGGGGGCUGGGAUGUGGGGUGGCCCUGCUGUGCCCCUCCUGGGGGGCUGGGACGUGGGGUGGUAUCACCAUGGCCCUCCUGGGAGGCUGGCAUGUGGACUGCCACUGCUGUCCCCCCCCCACGGGGUUGGGGGGUGUCCCAGCAGAGGCCACUGCCGCUGCAGGAGGUGCAGGACCCCUGGGGGGGUGACCCUGGUGGUGGCAGCAGCGUCCUCGCCGCGAGCACAGCUCACGA
RNAcentral lists this long non-coding RNA (1023 nucleotides) under Numida meleagris (helmeted guineafowl). RNAcentral describes it as "lncRNA (ENSNMEG00000000499.1)". Lineage: Eukaryota; Metazoa; Chordata; Aves; Galliformes; Numididae. The record is from RNAcentral.